Gigantopelta aegis is the source of this 688-nucleotide long non-coding RNA. RefSeq lists it as uncharacterized. NCBI's taxonomy places the organism in Eukaryota, Metazoa, Mollusca, Gastropoda, Neomphalida, Peltospiridae. The record is from RefSeq and is a predicted model, not a curated record. The transcript has 3 exons.
AUAUGAAUAGUUAAAUUAUAUAAAUACAUGUAUAUAGAAAUACAAUGAAUGGACAGAGAAAAAAUACAUAUAUACAAUAAGUCAAUAAUAUUAGGUAUAGUAGAAUAUACAUGUACUAGUAUAUUUCGAUUGAUUAAAAUAGGGAUGUAUGUGCUAUAAUAAUAGGAGGAGCCUAUAUGGCGAUUUGAUGAAUCUCAAUUAAUAUAUUAAAGGCGAUGUCACACGAUACGAGUGUCUCCUACGAGAAUAGCCGUUUGCGUUGCAACCGAUGACAUCGCCAGUGACUAAGUCCGGGACAGGAGGUGGAGAUUUCGUUUCGGGUUUACAGUUUUGAUGUGCUACAGUUUAUAUACGAGAUUGCCCGGAAUCUUCAUCGUCUUUAGCUCCUCAGGUCCCCGUCCGCACCAACUGUGAUUUCCAAGUUGAACCAGUGACCUGGGCUCCGUUCCACGAAACGAUCUUAACGUUAAAAUCACAUUAAGUCUAUACGGUAGCUAUGCACAUACAGUGAUGUUAGGGCUAGAUCGCUUCGUGAAAGGCGGCCCUGGAAAGUAACCUAUAAAAGAAAAUCAAAGUGAUCGCUUUCACUUCACCGGCCUCGGUGGUGUCGUGUUUAAGCCAUCGGACGUAAGGCUAGUAGGUACUGGGUUCGUAGCCCGAUACAAGCUCCCACCCAGAGCGAGUUUUA